Molecule: ribosomal RNA, 604 nt
Filed under: uncultured bacterium
Lineage: Bacteria
Description: bacterial SSU rRNA
Rfam family: Bacterial small subunit ribosomal RNA
Source: RNAcentral
CCUACGGGAGGCAGCAGUGGGGAAUUUUCCGCAAUGGGCGCAAGCCUGACGGAGCAAGACCGCGUGAGGGAGGAAGGCUCUUGGGUUGUAAACCUCUUUUAUCAGGGAAGAAGAUCUGACGGUACCUGAUGAAUCAGCAUCGGCUAACUCCGUGCCAGCAGCCGCGGUAAUACGGAGGAUGCAAGCGUUAUCCGGAUUUAUUGGGCGUAAAGCGUCCGCAGGUGGUUAUUCAAGUCUGCUGUUAAAGCGCGAGGCUUAACUUCGUACAGGCAGUGGAAACUGGAUGACUGGAGUAUGGUAGGGGUAGCGGGAAUUCCCAGUGUAGCGGUGAAAUGCGUAGAUAUUGGGAAGAACACCAGCGGCGAAAGCGCGCUACUGGGCCAUUACUGACACUCAUGGACGAAAGCUAGGGGAGCGAAAGGGAUUAGAUACCCCUGUAGUCCUAGCUGUAAACGAUGGGUACUAGGUGUUGACCGUAUCGACCCGGUCAGUGCCGUAGCUAACGCGUUAAGUACCCCGCCUGGGGAGUAUGCCACGCAGUAGUAGAACUACAAAGAAGUUAGACGGCGUGAGACGNGCCGACGGACGACGACGAGGGAGGAGG